Non-coding RNA from Cinara cedri, 341 nucleotides. Lineage: Eukaryota; Metazoa; Arthropoda; Insecta; Hemiptera; Aphididae. The record is from the annotation of a GenBank genome assembly.
CGUUAGAAUUAGUUUAUUUUUGCUCAUAGGUAUACAUUAAAAUACCUUUAAUAGUGGCUGCGUCCGUCUCCAUUAUCCUAAAACAGAUUUUUUUUGUUUUGUUGUUGUAAUUCGAUUUAAAAUAUUUAUUAUCACGAGAUUAAUCAUAAUUUUUUCAAGGGAGGUAAUAAAAAUAAUAGUAUAAUAAUAUCAUACUUAUUGAAGUAUUCCAAUAUGUCUCGCAUCUGUGGGUUGUUCCGUAGCACGACCAGAACAUCGUCGCCUAGCAGUAGCAGCCUUUAAUCUUAUCAUCUCGGAGGGCAUCAAUUUAACGAGAAUUUAGUACUGGAGGACAAAUACGC